Molecule: non-coding RNA, 1120 nt
Organism: Punica granatum (pomegranate)
Lineage: Eukaryota; Viridiplantae; Streptophyta; Magnoliopsida; Myrtales; Lythraceae
Source: RefSeq, a predicted model, not a curated record
GCCGCAGCCAUGUGUACGUAUGGGAUGCCGUUGUGGCGGAGAGGUGAAGCCUGGUGGGAGGACCGAGGAACGAUGGCGGCGGAGGAGGGACAAGAGGAGUACGUGUAUAGAAUCGGCACAGCGGAAGAGUGGGAGCAGAUGCAGAAGGAAGGCUUCGCUUACGGCGGCGACCUCGACAAGUCCACCGGUUGUUUCCACCUGAGCAAGCUCUCUCAGGUUCAAUCCACUCUUCAGAACUUCUUCCUCAACUUCAAGGGCGACCUCUACCUUCUCCAGGUCGACGCCAAGAAGGUCAUAGAGAUGCAAGCGUUCGUUUAUUCCGUCGAAGAUGUUCUAGGCCUCGAUAAGAUUUUCGAGCGGCGUUCUUUCAUAGCAACUAGCGAGUGUUUUCCAGAAUCUUGUGUAAUAUGGAUUAGAAAAGUGAGGAAGAAACUAGUUGUUUCGCGCUGAUUCCCGGGACUUAACUCGAAGCUGCAAAAUGAUGUUUGGGCUAACAAGAAGUCGGCAUUGUUAUCGAGCAAUCAAGUCGAACAUUUGCAGCAGUUCUCGAAAUUCAGUUUGAAGGAUGUUGCUGUUCUGUUGGAACAAGAUAGCAUAUGGACUUUCUUACGUUUGAUUCGGGGAAGCACGCAGGCAGUGCCUACAAAAUUUUGAUGCACCUCAACCUCGGAGACGGAUUGGUGUAUGAAGUUGUCGAUGGCGUCAAUAGCUUCCCUCACUAUUAUGGGCCAUCCCGAAGCUUCAGUCCGCUCCCCUUGGAAGCUGUCACGAAGGCGGAGAAGCUGACUCUGUCAGACGGUCGAUUCUCCUGCAGUUUUCUCAGUUAAUACCAAUACACAAGCUGCUGUUAUUCCAGUACAGAAACUCGAGAAACUGAAACAUGUAGUUAAUAAAUCCAUAUGAGUAUGGUUGGAGUGACAUUUUAGUACUCGUGAAAUGGGAUGCGGGUCCUGUGGUGUCAUGUUUUGGUCGGCAGCCCUCCCUGGUCGGGCUGACGUGUUUGUGAUUGAUCAGCAGUAGAAAUGCCGUAAAUAUGUUAUUGCAAACGGAUUUUUCCCAUUGACAAGUACAGCUUUCCUUUAGCUUAACUACUAUACGCAUUAUAAGCUUUGAUCGGCGA